Molecule: non-coding RNA, 238 nt
Filed under: Roseburia inulinivorans
Lineage: Bacteria; Bacillati; Bacillota; Clostridia; Lachnospirales; Lachnospiraceae
Description: T-box sequence
Rfam family: T-box leader
About the family: Uncharged tRNA acts as the effector for transcription antitermination of genes in the T-box leader family. T-boxes are found upstream of many aminoacyl-tRNA synthetase genes and some amino acid biosynthetic genes usually in Gram-positive bacteria.
Source: RNAcentral
AAAAUGACGUUGACGAGGAGUAUUAAGAACGAAAAAGUUUCAGAGAGCUGUCGGACGGUGCAAGACAGUAUUUGGAAGUUCCCAACUCGCCUCUGAGUUUUCUGGUUGAAACAAUUAACAGCAAAGUAGAUCAGAACGUGUGGUUCGCGUUAAGAAUGUGAGUGCGUAUUUAGAUGAACAGUUUCAUCUGGCGAAUGAGAGUGGUACCACGGAGUGAAUAGAUAUCUUCGUCUCUUUA